UGGUUCCAGCGAACUGCUGAUGCUGUGCGACAACCAAAAUGCCUUUCUUCACAUCUCCUAUAUAUAUUAAAGCUUCUUCUGCGAUGGAGGUACCCAAAGAUGCCUUUCUUCACAUCUCCUAGAUUCUUGCCACCAACCAAAAUGGAAAAAUUCAGGAGAUCGUCGUUGAUGAUGGCAUUAUCUCACACGGAUGCUUCUUGAACAAAUCAAGCAUCCAACACUCAAUUGUGGGUGUUCGUUCAUGCUUGGAGAGUGGUGUGGAGCUUCUGGAUACUAUGAUGAUGGGUGCAGACUGCUACUAUCAAACUGAAUCUGAAAUUGCAUCUCCGCUAGCUGAGGGAAAGGUUCCCAUCGGUGUUGGACGGAAUACCAAGAUCUAGUGAGAUAAUGAACCAAGAAGCUAUCCUAGUUUGGAUCUGAACAAAAUGGAAGGUCAUAGGUUUGAAUUAGAAACAAACUCUUUGUACAAGCAAGAGAAAGACAACUCUCCCCAACUCUCUUACAAGGUGGGGAGCCUCAUAAUGGGGGGUCUUUUAACCCCAAGAUAUAUAUAAAACAUUACUUAUAUGGACUAUGAGUUGAUGUCAUACUCGUAGCAUUCUGACUGAGGUUGUGGGGGUUGA
Molecule: long non-coding RNA, 623 nt
Organism: Diospyros lotus (date-plum)
Lineage: Eukaryota; Viridiplantae; Streptophyta; Magnoliopsida; Ericales; Ebenaceae
Exons: 3
Source: RefSeq, a predicted model, not a curated record